UGUUUUGUCAGGCUUUAUUGACUGGCUUCCUCUUUAUUCCGCAUCAGGGACCAAGGUGCUGAAAAAUGUGUUCGAACACCCCCGUCUUCCUAUUUCUACUUGUCAUGUUAAGAAUCAAGAAAGUUCAGGUUGAUUGUACAACUUUACUAUCUGAAUUGGCAUCGACUCUAGACAACGUGCCUGGGGGCCCUACCUAUAUUUUGUUUUCCCCUCUCUUCUUUUUUUUUUUAUCAUUAUUUAUUUUACUAAAUUUUAUUUUCAUUUGUCAUUUAUGUUGAGCUUUUUCAUUUUCUUCUUUACGUCUUGAAUAUAGUUUACUUUUCCCCUUCUUUGCAUUUAUUGCUCUUAGUUAGGCUUGUUUGUUUCCCUUUAUCUUCUCACAUUCUUGAUCUCUUAUGUUUAUUUAUUUAAGGUAGCAUUUAUGGUACUGAGUUAGUUAUAUUUACUCUUGUCCAUCCAUUUUUGUCUUUUCAUUCACAUUAUUUUCCCCUUUAAAAGAAUGUGUAUUCAUUUCUCUUGAUUGGGUGUUUAUUACUCUUCUUUUGUUUCUGUCAUUUAAUGAUGAUGAUCAUUCUCCCCCUUAUUCUUUUUUUUAUUAAAUGGUGAUCUUCUUUCCUCUUAUAGCAAAUGAUCCUCUUGGUUUGGUUACAUUUAUCCAUUUUCUUUGUUCCUCGUUCUUUAAAGCAUAGAUUAUCUCUCUUUACCUUGACCCUCAUUCUCUUCUCCAUUAAAUACUGAUCUCCUUUCCUUUUAUAGAAUGCAUUAUUAUUGAUUUGUUACAUUGAUGUCUCUUCUUGUUUUCCCUCUCUUGUUAAUAUAGAUCCCCUAUCCUUGCUUUGAUCUAUCAUCUUCUCUAUGUGUUAAUAGUAUUUUCAUGCCUUGCUUCACUCAUUUCUUUGUUGGUUUAUGUUAACUCUUCCUUUACUUUUCUUAUUUAUAUAAUAAUGCAUAUCUAUCUCAUCUCUCAUAUGUCUUAAAGUUAGGAUUAUUGGUUUUGUUUUUCUGUCUUAGUUAGGGGUUUCUUGUUUUCAUCUCUUCUUUUUCCUUGUACUUUAUAUUUUGAAUCUCUUCUCCUUCGUUCUUCUCACUUCCAAUCUCUUUUAUGUUUAUUUUAUCUUUUUCCUCAUAUUUUGUUCCAUAUAAUAGUCUUUCUUAGUUUCUUCCGGAUAUGCUUGUUUUUCUACCUUUUAGCUGGGUCUUUAUCAACCUCUCUCAUCUCCUAUCCUCUCUUAUAUUUUUUUCCCUUUUUUAUUUAGAUUUUGGUCAAUAGCUUAGUCUCACUCUUUCUCUUCUUGAUUAUUUAUCCUUCUUGACCUUCAUUAUCUUCUAUUAAGAAUUGACAUCUAUCCACCCUUCUCUUCCCCCAUUUAUGAACCAUCUCCUACUUCUCUUUAUCUCUUUCACCUUAACCUUCUUUCUCAUGUUUUUUUCUUUCAUCUCUUUCCUUUAUUUAUUCUUAUUACUACUAUUGCAUAUUAUGUAUUAGUAUCAGUCAUUCUUCAUUUUCCUUCCAUCUAUUUUAUUUCUCCUCAUGUUGUAUUUUUAUCUUUAUUCGAAUUUUAUACUAACACCUCUCUGUCUCGCCAAGGAGGAUCUCAUUCUCUUUCUCCUUCACAACCACGCUGGCAUCUCCAUGAUAUUAUCUUUCUCUUUCAUCUUAUGUUAUGCAUGUUUAGAUUAGUCUUACUUAUUUUUCUUCCAUGCAUUUUGAUUUCUUGUUCUUCCAGCAUCUAGUAGUUAGAUUUUUUACUCCUGUUUACUCACUUCUUUCUAGUUUAGUUGCUUAUCUGUGUUUUUCUUCUUUUGUUCCCUUUUUAUAUCUAUUUUCUUAAAAUCUCCCUUCUAGCUAUAAAACCCUUUCAAAACUUUCUUGUUUGAGUUCCAACGUUAAGAUAGUAUGGAAGCCGGCUUUGUCAGCGAUCUGAGAGGGAUAAGGUCUUAGGACCCGAUUCUCCCUCGGAGCAUAAUAUAACAGGACCCAUACUCUACUGACUCGUUGAUGUAUUUACUGUUGAAAUCAAGACGGCGCAUAGUCCCCUACCAGCAAUUUCAAGUAUAAAAAAUCUAGCACCCACCUUGGGCCCAUCAAGCUUCCCUUCCAUCUUAAAUAUUGAAACAAACUCUUGAACCGUUGUUUCAAAAGGCCUCUUUCAACGAAAAACUCAUCCCGGCUCAUCGUGAGCCCUUGCUUCUCUUCAUGGCCAGAAACCGCCAAAAGUUACCACAGGAAGUGUCAAAACUCCCCACGACAGAUUUUACCCAUCCCGGCUCACCCCGUGUACUUUUUGGAUGUUCAGAAGCCUAACGCCAUUGGCACUAUCGCUAGCUCCAUUGCCAUUGCCACCAGGUCUCCAGAGCUCUAAAAGAUCACUUCGCCCUUAGGGGCUUGCUAUUGGCCUUUCUCAAUCUUUUCUACUGAGUUUCAGAGAAAAGGGUUUGGUGUCAUUUGCAAUGUCGUCAGGACCCUGACCCCCUAAUCUUCGUUGUGACCGCUCGGGACCACAGAUCUUGGGUUUUAUUAUCGUUGGCGCCGGGAUUUUGUUGCCUGGAUCAACCUUCCUUUGUUGGUAGCGUAGCUUUUAUCGCUUUCCUUCUUUUUCAUGCCUCCCCCGCACCUUUGUUCGUGAGGGACCCUCUUCCCUCACCCCUAUCUUGUGCCUCGAGUAGCGUCAUACCCGACUCUAAGCGCGCUUGAGUCGACAUAAGUCGUACUCUCCUUUUGAACCGCACUUCGGACACCGAAGCACACAUUGGCUAGCACCAAGGUGCUUGGCGCUCAUUCAUUGCUAGGGUGCCUAGCCCUACAGUUUCAUUAUGCCUCGAUCUGGUUUGUCAUAGCGCAGCGCAUCCCACUGGGUGUGAUUAAAGUGCCUCGUGUUCAUUUUUGUUUGAGCACCAUUAUGAUUGGUUGACACACUCUUUCACGUGCACGUGUGCUGUUUGUCAUAUGUGCGUUAUUGCACUCGAUCUGACAAAGGUCAAACUUUCUCAAAUAUAGUUUUUGAAAAACCUAUAUCCGACCUUCAUAUUUUCGGAGUAGGCACCUAAUCCCUAUAGGAAGAGCAGUAUGGAUCGUGGGCCCUCAGCGGGAAUACCCUCUCCCUACACUUGGCCUCUAAGAGCACCCCACAAUACUUUGGACCCAUGGUGGCUUAUAGGAGUGGCCCGAACCAAAGGUGGGUGUACCCUGUUACCUGACCUCAUUUUUAAAAUUAGGUCUUUACCUAGGUAGUAUAUCUAAGCCUAGCCUUACCUACUAGUGGUUUAGAAGUACCCAUGUCUUUUCGCUUGAACUGUGUUCCUAAGUAGCGAGAUGUACUACAACCCAAGUAUGGUGGUAGAAGAGUCGGACACCGAGCUGACCACCAACUCAUACCGGAGGUCGGGUACAUCGAGCAGUCAUCCAUCGAGACAGAGUGCAGCUAUCAGCUUGUUGAUAUCCCAUGGGACUAUGGAGUUGAGCCUCGGUCUGGAUCUGUAGUUAGGUCACCUAGUCGUCAGUCUAGAGAUCAACUCAGUCACCGGUCCAGCUCUAGGGAUCAUCAGGUCUGUACCGCUUGAAGCACCCUAAACUGUCGAGGGAUUAGACUGGGUGCGAUUCUCCAGCAAGUUGCAGUGUUGCCCCUAUCCCGAUGCCAAUCUCAAGAUAGGAUUUGCGCUUUGAGUGGUGGUCAAUCUGGUGAUUUAAGCAUAGGUGAUCCUCCUAUACCAAUAGCACCCCGUCCACCCAGUAGAGAGCAUUCCACUAGGGUUAGUGCAACAUGAUCUUCUAAUGCUUGCAGUAGCAGUAGGGCUGACCAAGCUCCUCUUAGGGCCGCUCAACCUAGUAUUAGGUUAGCACCCAACCCUAGUGUGGCCCAGUUUCCACUAGGGAUCAACCAACUAGUGGUAGAUAAUCUUGUUGAUCAAAAUAGGAUAUCUCAAGCUGUUCUCCAAGCCAUGGGGAACCCUAGCCUAGGGCAUGCAGCAAACUUCUCGGUCGAACCUAACUUAGGGUCCCCUCAGUCUGGUCAAGCACAAUUCGAUCCGGGGAUAGUCCCGAGCCGAACUGCCUUGGACUCAUCAUAACAGUUUUACAAUCCUCAACCUAGGGAACUCCUCCUAUGGCACUUGUAUACCCACCACCACACUAGCUAACUCCUCUACAUCCAACUGGUCAACCUGCCACUUUAGGAAGUAACCCUUGGAUAUCAUACGCACCGGCAGACAUGAAAUACCAAUCUUUAGAGGGACAAAUGAAAAUUAUGCACGUUGUGCUUCAAAGAUUGGGGGUCGAUGAUCCCGCUCUCACCGAGCCUUAUGAUGAAUCUUACUUAGAUGGAUUCGCCAACCUACCUAUGAAUUUCUUACCCCCUGAAUUUCAAAAUCUCUUUGGUGGUAAAGGCGACCCAUGCCUUCACAUAACCAGCUACCUUUUUGCUAUACCAGCAAUCCAUGAUAGGCCGAUUGCCCUUAAAGCGAUGUUCGCCCACAGUUUCACAUGAGACGCCACUAUUUGGUUUAACGAGUUUGUGACAGACUACCCCGAGGUCACAUGCCGAGAAAUGUUCAAAAUAUGCCAUUGAGAGGGUUUUGCCAUAAGUGGAAGAAUCAAGAGACCGAUCAUAGAUCCUAAUCACCAUCGGAAGGAGGAGACUCGGUGUGGUGUAUUAAGCCCGAUUGAGGAGACCUGCAGUGGACGCACCCAAGCCCUGCCUAUGGAUAAAACUGAUUUGACUCGAGGAAAUGCCCUACUUCACUAAACGCUCGGUUUCGAGCAGGAAAAUGCCCCUCCUACUUCAAUGGGCGAAUUUCUGAAUAAACACGGUGUAUGUGUUAGUUUUUUUGGUUUUUAAUAUACCUCUGUUGGACUCAUUCAGAAACACAAAAAGCACAUACGGCCGCAGGGAUUUGAUAGAAGUUACACACAUUUUCCGAAUUCAAUUGCCUUUUAGUAGUUGA
This is a non-coding RNA of Amborella trichopoda, 4941 nucleotides long. The record is from RefSeq and is a predicted model, not a curated record. NCBI's taxonomy places the organism in Eukaryota, Viridiplantae, Streptophyta, Magnoliopsida, Amborellales, Amborellaceae.